RNAcentral lists this long non-coding RNA (291 nucleotides) under Homo sapiens (human). Its description in RNAcentral is "non-protein coding LINC01237:5". Lineage: Eukaryota; Metazoa; Chordata; Mammalia; Primates; Hominidae. The record is from RNAcentral.
CUCAGUGACGCGGGGCACAGCUCUGCCCGGGGGCCUACCAGAGCCCACCUGGACCCCACACUGGGUCAGCCCUGGUGCGGAGGAGGCCGCUGUAGGCGCGGCCAGGUCACAGUCGGCACCAGAAGUUUGGCAGAUCUCAGUGAGGCGUUAGUUUGCAUUUCCUUGUGACGGGGUUGUAGAAGAAGGUUAACAAGGUACCACAAACCGGAUGGCUCAAAACAGCGGAUACUGUCUCACGGUUCUGGAGACCUGAAGUCUGAAACAAAGUGGUGAUGGGGUCGGUUCCCUCCG